This 371-nucleotide ribosomal RNA is filed under the name uncultured bacterium. RNAcentral's name for it is "bacterial SSU rRNA". It matches the Rfam family "Bacterial small subunit ribosomal RNA", at positions 525 to 896 of the family's 1533-position model. The record is from RNAcentral.
ACAUACUGUGCGAACGUUAUUCGGAAUCACUGGGCUUAAAGGGUGCGUAGGCGGUGGUUCAAGUCAGAUGUGAAAUGCCUGAGCUCAACUGAGGCAUUGCGUUUGAAACUGGAUCGCUUGAGUAUCCCAGGGGUGUGCGGAACUGCCAGUGGAGCGGUGAAAUGUGUUGAUAUUGGCAGGAACACCGGAGGCGAAAGCGGCACACUGGGGGAUAACUGACGCUGAGGCACGAAAGCCAGGGUAGCGAACGGGAUUAGAUACCCCGGUAGUCCUGGCUGUAAACGAUGAGCACUGGGCGGGAGGAAGUUCGCUUCUUCCUGCCGUAGCGAAAGCGUUAAGUGCUCCGCCUGGGGAGUAUGGUCGCAAGGCUG